AUGAGGCUGAAACCCCAUGUGACGAAGUCACAUGCUACGAAUGGUUUCAGCAGACCUGCCGCCGAACAGAGUGAGGGGGCGAUACCCGGG
This 90-nucleotide non-coding RNA is filed under the name unclassified sequences. The record is from Rfam.